GCCCCUAUGGCGGAAUGGUAGACGCGGUAGACUCAAAAUCUACUAUUCGAAAGGAUAUGCUGGUUCAAGUCCGGCUAGGGGUA
Molecule: transfer RNA, 83 nt
Organism: Ehrlichia chaffeensis str. Arkansas
Lineage: Bacteria; Pseudomonadati; Pseudomonadota; Alphaproteobacteria; Rickettsiales; Anaplasmataceae
Rfam family: tRNA
About the family: Transfer RNA (tRNA) molecules are approximately 80 nucleotides in length.
Source: Rfam